Tarenaya hassleriana is the source of this 528-nucleotide long non-coding RNA. RefSeq lists it as uncharacterized. NCBI's taxonomy places the organism in Eukaryota, Viridiplantae, Streptophyta, Magnoliopsida, Brassicales, Cleomaceae. The record is from RefSeq and is a predicted model, not a curated record. The transcript is spliced from 2 exons.
GAGUUCGGACUCGGAAGAAGAACAAUCGUCAUUCCGAGUGCCGAGCGAGUUCACUCUUCCUGUACGACGUGUAGUUCACUCGUGGUUCCUCUCCCUAUCGUCGUUUUGCCGUGUUGGUUUUGUUGAAUUCCGAUGGAAAUGUUCAAUUUUUCACUUCACGGCCUUGAUUGAGAAAUUCUUCAAUUACCGCCAUAGGCAAUUAUGAUCUUUGGUCGGUGAGGCAUUCCUCGUUUCUCGUAGCCGAGGAACGGUAAGGUAAGCAUUGCGUUUCUUCGUUUUGACGAUAUUGUUAGCCAACGCUCCUUCUCUUGUCGGGUUGAUCCUCGAUCUUUGUUUUGAUCUGAUGUCGUUUUAUGCAUAAAACAAUUUGCGAUUCUGGAUUUUCAGCUUCGAGCUGUUUACUGUGUAUAUAAUUUAGUAUAGGUUCUUGUUAUAGACAACAAUUGAAGGUCUGAGUCCUAACAGUGAAUUGGCUCUGAGAUUACACCACAGGAUAUAGAGCUAAGGCAUUCUGAUCAAAACUGAAAA